CCUANGGGCGGCAGCAGUGAGGAAUAUUGGACAAUGGGCGCAAGCCUGAUCCAGCCAUGCCGCGUGCAGGAUGAAGCAUCUAUGGUGUGUAAACUGCUUUUGUACGAGAAGAAACACUCCUACGUGUAGAGUCUUGACGGUACUGUGAGAAUAAGGAUCGGCUAACUCCGUGCCAGCAGCCGCGGUAAUACGGAGGAUCCAAGCGUUAUCCGGAAUCAUUGGGUUUAAAGGGUCCGUAGGCGGUCUUAUAAGUCAGUGGUGAAAUCUCCCCGCUCAACGGGGAAACGGCCAUUGAUACUGUAAGACUUGAAUUAUUAGGAAGUAACUAGAAUAUGUAGUGUAGCGGUGAAAUGCUUAGAGAUUACAUGGAAUACCAAUUGCGAAGGCAGGUUACUACUAAUGGAUUGACGCUGAUGGACGAAAGCGUGGGUAGCGAACAGGAUUAGAUACCCUUNUANUC
RNAcentral lists this ribosomal RNA (460 nucleotides) under uncultured bacterium. Its description in RNAcentral is "bacterial SSU rRNA". It matches the Rfam family "Bacterial small subunit ribosomal RNA", at positions 338 to 795 of the family's 1533-position model. The record is from RNAcentral.